AGGUUCAUUGAAAUUGUGUCAAAAUGGCUUGGGUCAACACACACGACGCCUCUGUCUUUGUCCGUGGUUUGAAGACUUUUCUGGAAGAAAACCACAAGAGACACCUACUGGGGGACUCCGGCUAUCAACAAUAGGUACAACAAUGCCCAGUCAAGUGUACUGUGGUUGAUAGGGCUUUUGGACUGCCAAAGAGUAGAUUUAGGUGUCCGCAUAAAACUGGCGGUUGUUUAUUCAUGAGACUCGAUGAGUGCUGUCAAGCAGUGGCUGCAUGAAUGCGCCUGCAUGAAUGCGCCUGCACAACUUAUGCAUAGAUUAGCAGGUGCCACUGCCUGAACAACUUAAUUAGGCACAAGAAGUGGAUGGCGUUGUGCACAGUCCACAACAGGACCA
This is a long non-coding RNA of Dreissena polymorpha, 390 nucleotides long. RefSeq lists it as uncharacterized. The record is from RefSeq and is a predicted model, not a curated record. NCBI's taxonomy places the organism in Eukaryota, Metazoa, Mollusca, Bivalvia, Myida, Dreissenidae. The transcript is spliced from 3 exons.